RNAcentral lists this ribosomal RNA (1744 nucleotides) under Escherichia coli M8. RNAcentral describes it as "bacterial LSU rRNA". It matches the Rfam family "Bacterial large subunit ribosomal RNA", at positions 593 to 2323 of the family's 2925-position model. Lineage: Bacteria; Pseudomonadati; Pseudomonadota; Gammaproteobacteria; Enterobacterales; Enterobacteriaceae. The record is from RNAcentral.
GUGACUGCGUACCUUUUGUAUAAUGGGUCAGCGACUUAUAUUCUGUAGCAAGGUUAACCGAAUAGGGGAGCCGAAGGGAAACCGAGUCUUAACUGGGCGUUAAGUUGCAGGGUAUAGACCCGAAACCCGGUGAUCUAGCCAUGGGCAGGUUGAAGGUUGGGUAACACUAACUGGAGGACCGAACCGACUAAUGUUGAAAAAUUAGCGGAUGACUUGUGGCUGGGGGUGAAAGGCCAAUCAAACCGGGAGAUAGCUGGUUCUCCCCGAAAGCUAUUUAGGUAGCGCCUCGUGAAUUCAUCUCCGGGGGUAGAGCACUGUUUCGGCAAGGGGGUCAUCCCGACUUACCAACCCGAUGCAAACUGCGAAUACCGGAGAAUGUUAUCACGGGAGACACACGGCGGGUGCUAACGUCCGUCGUGAAGAGGGAAACAACCCAGACCGCCAGCUAAGGUCCCAAAGUCAUGGUUAAGUGGGAAACGAUGUGGGAAGGCCCAGACAGCCAGGAUGUUGGCUUAGAAGCAGCCAUCAUUUAAAGAAAGCGUAAUAGCUCACUGGUCGAGUCGGCCUGCGCGGAAGAUGUAACGGGGCUAAACCAUGCACCGAAGCUGCGGCAGCGACACUGUGUGUUGUUGGGUAGGGGAGCGUUCUGUAAGCCUGUGAAGGUGUGCUGUGAGGCAUGCUGGAGGUAUCAGAAGUGCGAAUGCUGACAUAAGUAACGAUAAAGCGGGUGAAAAGCCCGCUCGCCGGAAGACCAAGGGUUCCUGUCCAACGUUAAUCGGGGCAGGGUGAGUCGACCCCUAAGGCGAGGCCGAAAGGCGUAGUCGAUGGGAAACAGGUUAAUAUUCCUGUACUUGGUGUUACUGCGAAGGGGGGACGGAGAAGGCUAUGUUGGCCGGGCGACGGUUGUCCCGGUUUAAGCGUGUAGGCUGGUUUUCCAGGCAAAUCCGGAAAAUCAAGGCUGAGGCGUGAUGACGAGGCACUACGGUGCUGAAGCAACAAAUGCCCUGCUUCCAGGAAAAGCCUCUAAGCAUCAGGUAACAUAGAUCCGUACCCCAAACCGACACAGGUGGUCAGGUAGAGAAUACCAAGGCGCUUGAGAGAACUCGGGUGAAGGAACUAGGCAAAAUGGUGCCGUAACUUCGGGAGAAGGCACGCUGAUAUGUAGGUGAAGUCCCUCGCGGAUGGAGCUGAAAUCAGUCGAAGAUACCAGCUGGCUGCAACUGUUUAUUAAAAACACAGCACUGUGCAAACACGAAAGUGGACGUAUACGGUGUGACGCCUGCCCGGUGCCGGAAGGUUAAUUGAUGGGGUCAGCGCAAGCGAAGCUCUUGAUCGAAGCCCCGGUAAACGGCGGCCGUAACUAUAACGGUCCUAAGGUAGCGAAAUUCCUUGUCGGGUAAGUUCCGACCUGCACGAAUGGCGUAAUGAUGGCCAGGCUGUCUCCACCCGAGACUCAGUGAAAUUGAACUCGCUGUGAAGAUGCAGUGUACCCGCGGCAAGACGGAAAGACCCCGUGAACCUUUACUAUAGCUUGACACUGAACAUUGAGCCUUGAUGUGUAGGAUAGGUGGGAGGCUUUGAAGUGUGGACGCCAGUCUGCAUGGAGCCGACCUUGAAAUACCACCCUUUAAUGUUUGAUGUUCUAACGUGGACCCGUGAUCCGGGUUGCGGACAGUGUCUGGUGGGUAGUUUGACUGGGGCGGUCUCCUCCUAAAGAGUAACGGAGGAGCACGAAGGUUGGCUA